GACGAACGCUGGCGGCGUGCUUAACACAUGCAAGUCGAGCGGUAAGGCCCUUUCGGGGGUACGACGAGCGGCGAACGGGUGAGUAACACGUGGGUGACCUGCCCUCAGCUCUGGGAUAAAGCCCGGGAAACCGGGUCUAAUACCGGAUAUGACUCCAUGACGCAUGUUGUGGGGUGGAAAGCCUUGUGCGGCUGAGGAUGGGCCCGCGGCCCAUCAGCUUGUUGGUGGGGUGAUGGCCUACCAAGGCGACGACGGGUAGCCGGCCUGAGAGGGCGACCGGCCACACUGGGACUGAGACACGGCCCAGACUCCUACGGGAGGCAGCAGUGGGGAAUCUUGCGCAAUGGGCGAAAGCCUGACGCAGCGACGCCGCGUGAGGGAUGACGGCCUGGUGU
Molecule: ribosomal RNA, 395 nt
Filed under: uncultured bacterium
Lineage: Bacteria
Description: bacterial SSU rRNA
Rfam family: Bacterial small subunit ribosomal RNA
Source: RNAcentral